AUCAGAAUUAUUCUGGGCACAGAGAUUUUGUUUUUCUGGUAACGGACCAGAUUCUAUAAGGGUUUAAAGUUCUCUUUCGCUGUAAAUGCUGCAGCUUUGGGAACUGUUUGGCAUUGAAACUACGUGGUUUUAUGUGUAAUCACUCUUUUUUCGUGACUCUCUGGAAGCUGCGAAGUGUUAUUUAGAACUGCUGUAGGCAAAAAGAAUCAUAUUUCUGUGUCAUUCUUCAAAGAUGUUUGUGUGAUGACAGCUUGAUUCUUCAGACCUGCUCAAGGACUCUUUUCUUCUCAUUUGCCUUUAUUUUGAUGGUUUGGGGAAACAUCUUUUAGAGAAGAACAUGUCAUGAACAUGAGAGCACAGACAUCUCUUCCACAGACUGACUUCAAAUCUUUUGAGCAAAUACCCAGGAGUAAGAUUGCCAGAUCAUAUGAGAACCAGGAACCCUGGGAACUUCAUUUCCUAGACUUUCAAGAAGGACUUCAAAGAUUUUAGAUACUUCCAAAAGUAGAAACCAGUAGAAGAAAGUACUGUGCCUCCAGAGAAGACA
RNAcentral lists this long non-coding RNA (547 nucleotides) under Homo sapiens (human). Its description in RNAcentral is "HSALNT0344726". Lineage: Eukaryota; Metazoa; Chordata; Mammalia; Primates; Hominidae. The record is from RNAcentral.